RNAcentral lists this small nucleolar RNA (105 nucleotides) under Gossypium hirsutum (cotton). RNAcentral's name for it is "Plant small nucleolar RNA R71". It matches the Rfam family "Plant small nucleolar RNA R71". Rfam says of the family: R71 is a member of the C/D box family of snoRNAs containing the C (UGAUGA) and D (CUGA) box motifs. Multiple nearly identical copies of this snoRNA have been identified in Arabidopsis, and it is thought to function as a 2'-O-ribose methylation guide for 18S ribosomal RNA. Lineage: Eukaryota; Viridiplantae; Streptophyta; Magnoliopsida; Malvales; Malvaceae. The record is from Rfam by way of RNAcentral.
AAUCCAUGAUGUGGGCAUCUGUAUUAGCAUUUUAAAAUGCUCUCAAGCUUCGUGAAAACUCUCUCCUUCUAAUUAUUUGAAUGUUGGGAUCUCUCUCCUUAGUUG